RNAcentral lists this ribosomal RNA (514 nucleotides) under Streptococcus sinensis. RNAcentral describes it as "bacterial SSU rRNA". It matches the Rfam family "Bacterial small subunit ribosomal RNA", at positions 379 to 889 of the family's 1533-position model. The record is from RNAcentral. Lineage: Bacteria; Bacillati; Bacillota; Bacilli; Lactobacillales; Streptococcaceae.
AACCCUGACCGAGCAACGCCGCGUGAGUGAAGAAGGUUUUCGGAUCGUAAAGCUCUGUUGUAAGAGAAGAACGAGUGUGAGAGUGGAAAGUUCACACUGUGACGGUAACUUACCAGAAAGGGACGGCUAACUACGUGCCAGCAGCCGCGGUAAUACGUAGGUCCCGAGCGUUGUCCGGAUUUAUUGGGCGUAAAGCGAGCGCAGGCGGUUAGAUAAGUCUGAAGUUAAAGGCUGUGGCUUAACCAUAGUACGCUUUGGAAACUGUUUAACUUGAGUGCAGAAGGGGAGAGUGGAAUUCCAUGUGUAGCGGUGAAAUGCGUAGAUAUAUGGAGGAACACCGGUGGCGAAAGCGGCUCUCUGGUCUGUAACUGACGCUGAGGCUCGAAAGCGUGGGGAGCAAACAGGAUUAGAUACCCUGGUAGUCCACGCCGUAAAACAUGAGUGCUAGGUGUUGGGUCCUUUUCCGGGACUCGUGCCGCAGCUACGCUAAGCCUCGCCUGGGGAGUACGACCGC